Molecule: long non-coding RNA, 974 nt
Organism: Sinocyclocheilus anshuiensis
Lineage: Eukaryota; Metazoa; Chordata; Actinopteri; Cypriniformes; Cyprinidae
Exons: 5
Source: RefSeq, a predicted model, not a curated record
GCCGUCUUUGUGUCAUAACAGGGAGGGGCUUGAAGAGCGGCGAGAACUUCAAACUGCUCUACGACCUAGCCGACAAACUGAACGCAGCCGUCGGUGCCUCCAGAGCCGCAGUUGAUGCUGGUUAUGUUCCUAACGACAUGCAGGUUGGACAGACUGGAAAGAUUGUGGCUCCUGAGCUGUACAUCGCGGUUGGCAUCUCUGGAGCGAUCCAACAUCUUGCUGGAAUGAAGGAUAGCAAGACCAUCGUGGCCAUCAACAAGCACCCAGAAGCCCCCAUUUUUCAGGUGGCUGACUAUGGCCUAGUGGCAGAUCUGUUUAAGGUUGUACCGGAGUUGACCGAAGCCUUGAAAAAGUGAUACUCCUCAGGAAGCUGGUACUCACCUGGAGAACUUCACUAGGAUCCUGCCUUAAGAAGCUCAGAGACAACGCUCCACUGAUGCUCACUUCCUGAAUGUGAUUUUUCUCCAGAACACUGUGUACUUACAAUAGCUAAUGUAAACAUUAAACCACUUCUUUUAAUAAAAGAAUUAAGUGACACAAUGGCCGGAGGUUUUCUGUUUUUCGAAGUUGGGUAACAUAAUUGUUAUGGCAGUCUUUGGCUAAUUCAGGGUUGUCCAAGUCUGCUCCUGGAUACCCACUGUCCUGCGGAGUUCAGCGCCAAACCUAAUUAAACGCACCUGAGCCAGCUAAUAAGGAUCUUCAGGAUCACUAGAAACAUCCAGGCUGGUGUGUCAAGAGCUAAAUUAUGCAGGACGUUGGCCCUCCAGAAGCAGGAUUGGACACCCCUGCUGUAUACUGACCUCAGUGGAGUAGAGCUCAUUUAUCCAGCAGUUGUAGAUGGCUGUCUUUAUGGUGGUCUUUACAUAUUGUCUUCUAUUUGUGGAAGUAACUUGCUGUUUGUUGUAUUUUAAUAAGGUAGCUGUCUGGCCCUGGAUGUUCACUGAAGUGAUCCAAUAAACAUAUUUCUGCUUGUA